CAUAGCGAUUCCAUUAGUUAGAUUAAGGAAAGCAAUUAUUUGUAAUACAGUCUAUUUAACUUGGAUCUACAUGAGAAGAUAGCUCAUUCCUGGUUAUAAUGUGGUUGUAAAAACUUUACUCAUGUGCAGUGGGCAAUCUGUGGGCUGAAAGAUUAAAAACCCUGAACACAUUUCUUCUGGUUCUGUGGGCUGUGCUUAACAUGGUAACCCUGCAGCCUGAAUGAAGAUGGCAAUUGAGCAGUUAGCCACUGCACCAGUAAAUACAGUCAUCUAGCAUGCAGGCAACGGUGAAGCACAGGGUAUUGGCCCUUCCAUCAUUCUUCCUGAAAAAAGCAAGCAAAUGUACUCUACUAGAUGCUGGGAAAACAGCAAAAAGAGACAAAGAUUCCUGUUCUCAUGUGGCUGAUAGUAAGAAAGAUAGAAAAUCAAGGAAAAGAAGAUGGAGUUUCGUUCUGUUGCCAGGCUGGAGUAUAGUGGUACGAUCUUGGCUCACUGCAACCUCUGCCUCCUGGGUUCAAGUGAUUCUCCUGCCUCAACCACCUGAGUAAGUGGGACUACAGGCGUGCACCAUCAGGCCCAGCUAAUUUUUGUAUUUUUAGUAGAGAUGGGGUUUCACCAUGUUGGCCAGGAUGGUCUGGAUCUCUUGACCUCAUGAUCUGCCUGUCUUGGCCUCCCAAAGCUCUGGGAUUGCAGGCAUGAGCCACUGCACCCAGCCUGUUGGGGCUUCUUUUGCAGCCUCACAUGUGGUUAAUCCAGGGAAAUGUUCUAUAUCCUGAUGAAAAGAAAGUAUAUACUGCAGUUGUUGGGUAGAAUUUCUGUAAAUGUCUGUUAUGUUCAUUUGGUCUAAAGUCCAGUUUAAAUUCAAUGUUUCUUUGUUGAUUUUUUGUCUAGAUCUGUCUCAUGCUGAGGGUAGGAUGUUGAAGUUCCCCACUAUUACUGUAUUUAUGUCUAUUUCUGUCUUUAGAUUCAGCAACAUAUGCUUUAUAAAUCUGAGUGCUCCAAUGUUGGGUGCAUAUAUAUUUAGAAUUGUUAUGUCCUCUUGCUGGAUUGAUCCCCUUAUCAUAUAAUGACCUUUUUUGUCUAAUUGUUUUUGAUUUAGUUUUUUUGAUCUUAUGUAAGUAUAGCUACUCCUUCUUGCUUUUGGUUUCCAUUGGCAUAAAUUACCUUUUUCCAUCCCUUUACUUUCAGUCUACAUAUGUCUCUACUGGUAAGUACAUUUUUUGUAAGCAAACUAUUGUAUCAUUUUUUUAAAAUUCCACUCAGCCAUUCUAUAUCUUUUAAGCAGAGAAUUUAAUUCUUUACAUUUAAAGUUAUAAUUGAUAUGUGAGGCUUUGUUAUUAUCACAUUGUUAAUUAUUUUCUGGUUGUUAUUUAUAUUCUCUAUUACUUUCCUUUUCUCUUAUUAUUAGUCUUUGUGAUUUGGUGGAUUUCUGUGGUGGUAUCAUUUGGAUCCCUUAUCUUCCUCCUUUGUGUGAUUGCUUUACCAGUGAGUUUUAUACUGUCAUGUGUCUUCAUGAUGGCAAAUGUCAUCCUUUCACUUCCAGGCUUAGAACCCCCAUGAGCAUUUCUUGUAGGCCAGUCUAGUGGUAAUAAAUUCCCUCAGUAUUUUAUUACCCCUUCAUUUAAGAAGAAUAAUUUUUCUAGACACAGGAUUCUUAGUUGAUGGGGUUCUUUUUUUUCUCAGCACUUUGGUUUUUUAUAUAUAUUUAGAAUAGUUAGGCAUUACCUAGUAGAUUUGAACUCUGACCCAGUAAUUCAAUUUCUAGGCAUGUUCCUCAGAGGAACUCUUCAACACAUAUACAAGGAGGCACAUAGAAGAAUGUUCACAGUGACAUUGUUUAUAAACUAAAAACCUGGAAACAAACCAAACACCUGUCACUGAUAGCCCAAAUAUGUAACUUAUAUUGUAUUCAUAUAAUGGAAGAUACUCAACAGUGAAACUGAAUUAACUUCACUUAUAUGUACCAACAUGGAGAAAUCUCCAAAAUAUACCAUGAGUGAAGUAAGAAGUAUCUGAACAAUAUAUAAAGCAUAAAGUAUGAAUAAUAGAUGAUUUUAGAGACAUAUACAGAAGUAAUAAAACCAUAAAGAAAGGCAAGGGAAGGAUUAAUUAAAAAAUUCAUGAUGACGCUUUUAUCUCCAGGAUAGGUCGGGGUAAGGGGGAAGUU
Molecule: long non-coding RNA, 2167 nt
Organism: Callithrix jacchus (white-tufted-ear marmoset)
Lineage: Eukaryota; Metazoa; Chordata; Mammalia; Primates; Cebidae
Source: RefSeq, a predicted model, not a curated record